AGCGAACGCUGGCGGCAGGCCUAACACAUGCAAGUCGAACGAACCUUUCGGGGUUAGUGGCGGACGGGUGAGUAACACGUGGGAACGUGCCUUUAGGUUCGGAAUAACUCAGGGAAACUUGUGCUAAUACCGAAUGUGCCCUUCGGGGGAAAGAUUAAUCGCCUUUAGAGCGGCCCGCGUCUGAUUAGCUAGUUGGUUGAGGUAAUGGCUCACCAAGGCGACGAUCAGUAGCUGGUCUGAGAGGAUGAUCAGCCACAUUGGGACUGAGACACGGCCCAAACUCCUACGGGAGGCAGCAGUAGGGAAUCUCGCGCAAUGGGCGAAAGCCUGACGCAGCCAUGCCGCGUGAAUGAUGAAGGUCUUAGGAUUGUAAAAUUCUUUCACCGGGGACGAUAAUGACGGUACCCGGAGAAGAAGCCCCGGCUAACUUCGUG
RNAcentral lists this ribosomal RNA (434 nucleotides) under uncultured bacterium. RNAcentral's name for it is "partial 16S ribosomal RNA". It matches the Rfam family "Bacterial small subunit ribosomal RNA", at positions 29 to 507 of the family's 1533-position model. The record is from RNAcentral.